Molecule: non-coding RNA, 212 nt
Organism: Anopheles culicifacies
Lineage: Eukaryota; Metazoa; Arthropoda; Insecta; Diptera; Culicidae
Source: Rfam
ACUAAAUGUUUUCUUUUCUUCUUUUUUACAUGCUUUCUACUAUCAUUUUACGCACCACUGCGAUGACGUUGCGCCAGGAUGUCUGUAUCGGCUCGGGGAGGGGUUUAGUGGGUAAGGCAUCGAUCGUAUCACAUGUAUCGAGUGGUCGCGAACGAUGAAUCCCACACUACCCAGACCCGGGUGUCUUUAGAAGAUUCCCCUCCCCGUCAAAA